Long non-coding RNA from Lolium rigidum, 504 nucleotides. RefSeq lists it as uncharacterized. The record is from RefSeq and is a predicted model, not a curated record. The transcript is spliced from 2 exons. Lineage: Eukaryota; Viridiplantae; Streptophyta; Magnoliopsida; Poales; Poaceae.
CUCGCCUCGCCGCUCCGCCCCCAUGAGCGUGCCGUCCUUCACCGCCGCCCUGCGGGUGGAGAUGUCCAGUGGCAUCGCUACGUCGACCACAACGCGGUUGCUGCUGGAGGGAGCCAGACGAGCGAGGCGGGAAUGAGCUGCUGAUGGUCGCCGCCGUGCGCGGGGUGCAGUAAAUGUAAAUUGUUGGCACACGUUCAGUUGCAUAUCGAUGCAAAUCAGUUCUAUGUGAACCUUCUUUACAUGUAUAAGAAGAGCAAUUUAGAAAGGACAGUUAGUUGCUAUGGCCUGUUCUGAUUAGUAUAUUAACCAUGUAGUUUUUGGUAUGUUCAGACUUAAUGUGUAUGUGUGUUAGAGUUCAUCCACCUGUAGUCCUUGUAAUUGGUUUGACACUGUUUAGUUAAACAAAAUUAGCAUGUUGGAUAGCGAACUUGCAAUGAAUGGAUCUUACUGUUUAUGUGUGUAUGCAACUCUACCUGGAUGAAAUCUGUGGUGUUAUGAGUACAA